GAAAUGCGAUAAGUAAUGUGAAUUGCAGAAUUCAGUGAAUCAUCGAAUAUUUGAACGCACCUUGCGCGCCUUGGUAUUCCUUGGAGCAUGCCUGUUUGAGUAUCAUGAAAUCUUCAAAGUAAAUCUUUUGUUAACUCAAUUGGUUUCUACUUUGGUAUUGGAGGUCUUUGCAGCUUCACACCUGCUCCUCUUUGUUCAUUAGCUGGAUCUCAGUGUUAUGCUUGGUUCCACUCGGCGUGAUAAGUUAUCUAUCGCUGAGGACACUGUAAAAGGUGGCCAAGGUAAAUGCAGAUGAACCGCUUCUAAUAGUCCAUUGACUUGGACAAUACUUUUAUGAUCUGAUCUCAAAUCAGGUAGGACUACCCGCUGAACUUAAGC
This 378-nucleotide unclassified non-coding RNA is filed under the name plant metagenome. Its description in RNAcentral is "partial contains 5.8S ribosomal RNA, internal transcribed spacer 2, and large subunit ribosomal RNA". The stretch from base 1 to 105 matches the Rfam family "5.8S ribosomal RNA", at positions 50 to 154 of the family's 154-position model. The record is from RNAcentral.